UGGAACCUACGGGACGCAGCAGUGAGGAAUCUUCCGCAAUGGGCGAAAGCCUGACGGAGCAACGCCGCGUGAUCGAAUGAAGGCCUUCGGGUUGUAAAGAUCUGUUGACAGGGACGAAUAAGCAAUGCGAAUAGUUUUGUGUAUGACGGUACCUGUUUAGAAAGCUCCGGCUAACUACGUGCCAGCAGCCGCGGUAAUACGUAGGGAGCAAGCGUUGUCCGGAAUUACUGGGCGUAAAGGGCGCGUGGGUGGGCGCUUAAGUCAGGUGUGAAAACUCGGGGCUCAACCGGGAGAC
This 295-nucleotide ribosomal RNA is filed under the name uncultured bacterium. Its description in RNAcentral is "partial 16S ribosomal RNA". It matches the Rfam family "Bacterial small subunit ribosomal RNA", at positions 333 to 621 of the family's 1533-position model. The record is from RNAcentral.